RNAcentral lists this long non-coding RNA (269 nucleotides) under Capra hircus (goat). RNAcentral's name for it is "lncRNA (ENSCHIG00000008217.1)". Lineage: Eukaryota; Metazoa; Chordata; Mammalia; Artiodactyla; Bovidae. The record is from RNAcentral.
GGAGAACCUGCUUCCUGCCUCUGCCCUCCCUCCAUCCAUGAACAUGCAAGGAACCAGGGGCUUCUCUCAACGGGAUGGAGCACAGCUGGUUUGUGACAGAUUCAGAAGUCAGCACUCAAGAGAAGGUCAGAACAAUGGCCUCUGACCUACUGUGGAUCAAGACAACAGUGUCAGGGGCUCUGUCCUCCCCAACAACCUGCUCUGUUUCAGUGUGGAAGGGGCUUUUCCUUUCCCAAGAAUGCAGCCCCAUCGGAUAUCCCAUUCCCUAA